UCCCAGACUCCUACGGGAGGCAGCAGUGGGGAAUUUUGGACAAUGGGCGCAAGCCUGAUCCAGCAAUGCCGCGUGAGUGAAGAAGGCCUUCGGGUUGUAAAGCUCUUUUGUCAGGGAAGAAACGGUGGGAGCUAAUAUCUCCCACUAAUGACGGUACCUGAAGAAUAAGCACCGGCUAACUACGUGCCAGCAGCCGCGGUAAUACGUAGGGUGCAAGCGUUAAUCGGAAUUACUGGGCGUAAAGCGUGCGCAGGCGGUUUUGUAAGUCUGAUGUGAAAUCCCCGGGCUCAACCUGGGAAUUGCAUUGAAGACUGCAAGGCUAGAGUUUGGCAGAGGGGGGUAGAAUUCCACGUGUAGCAGUGAAAUGCGUAGAUAUGUGGAGGAACACCGAUGGCGAAGGCAGCCCCCUGGGUCAAGACUGACGCUCAUGCACGAAAGCGUGGGGAGCAAACAGGAUUAGAUACCCUGGUAGUCCACGCCCUAAACGAUGUCUACUAGUUGUCGGGUCUUAAUUGACUUGGUAACGCAGCUAACGCGUGAAGUAGACCGCCUGGGGAGUACGGUCGCAAGAUUAAAACUCAAAGGAAUGACGGAAGGGCG
RNAcentral lists this ribosomal RNA (600 nucleotides) under bacterium enrichment culture clone F61x_D50_T3_B07. Its description in RNAcentral is "bacterial SSU rRNA". It matches the Rfam family "Bacterial small subunit ribosomal RNA", at positions 329 to 923 of the family's 1533-position model. The record is from RNAcentral.